This 441-nucleotide ribosomal RNA is filed under the name uncultured bacterium. Its description in RNAcentral is "partial 16S ribosomal RNA". It matches the Rfam family "Bacterial small subunit ribosomal RNA", at positions 339 to 795 of the family's 1533-position model. The record is from RNAcentral.
CUACGGGCGGCUGCAGUCGAGAAUCUUCCGCAAUGGGCGAAAGCCUGACGGAGCAAUGCCGCGUGUAGGAUGAAGGCCUUUGGGUUGUAAACUACUGUCACCGGGGAUGAAUAUUGACAGUACCCGGAGAGGAAGCCACGGCGUAACUACGUGCCAGCAGCCGCGGUAAUACGUAGGUGGCGAGCGUUGUUCGGAUUUAUUGGGCGUAAAGGGUUCGUAGGGGGUUAUUUAAGUCUGAUGUGAAAUCCCGCGGCUUAACCGCGGAACUGCAUUGGAAACUGAGUAACUAGAGGAUCGGAGAGGAGAGUGGAAUUCCGGGAGUAGCGGUGGAAUGCGUAGAUAUCCGGAAGAACACCGACAGCGAAGGCAGCUCUCUGGACGAUUCCUGACCCUGAGGGACGAAAGCGUGGGUAGCAAACAGGAUUAGAUACCCGGGUAGUC